RNAcentral lists this ribosomal RNA (401 nucleotides) under uncultured Fusibacter sp. Its description in RNAcentral is "bacterial SSU rRNA". It matches the Rfam family "Bacterial small subunit ribosomal RNA", at positions 984 to 1382 of the family's 1533-position model. The record is from RNAcentral. Lineage: Bacteria; Bacillati; Bacillota; Clostridia; Eubacteriales; Fusibacteraceae.
ACAUCCAAUUGACCAUCUUUUAAUCGAGAUUUUGCCUUCGGGUACGAAUUGAGACAGGUGGUGCAUGGUUGUCGUCAGCUCGUGUCGUGAGAUGUUGGGUUAAGUCCCGCAACGAGCGCAACCUUGUGUUUAGUUGCAAACAGGUCAAGCUGUGCACUCUAGACAGACUGCCGUGGACAACACGGAGGAAAGUGGGGAUGACGUCAAAUCAUCAUGCCCCUUAUGAUCUGGGCUACACACGUGCUACAAUGGCCGGUACAACGGGCAGCGAAGGAGCGAUCCGGAGCGAAUCCUAAAAAGCCGGUCCCAGUUCGGAUUGCAGGCUGAAACUCGCCUACAUGAAGUUGGAGUUGCUAGUAAUCGCGAAUCAGAAUGUCGCGGUGAAUGCGUUCCCGGGUCUU